GACGAACGCUGGCGGCGUGCUUAACACAUGCAAGUCGAACGAUGACGACCGAGCUUGCUCGGUCUGAUUAGUGGCGAACGGGUGAGUAACACGUGAGCAACCUGCCCUUCACUCUGGGAUAACCUCGGGAAAUCGGGGCUAAUACCGGAUAUGAGCUCCUGUCGCAUGGCGGGUGUUGGAAAGUUUUUCGGUGAAGGAUGGGCUCGCGGCCUAUCAGUUUGUUGGUGAGGUAGUGGCUCACCAAGGCGAUGACGGGUAGCCGGCCUGAGAGGGCGACCGGCCACACUGGGACUGAGACACGGCGCAGACUCCUACAGGAGGCAGCAGUGGGGAAUAUUGCACAAUGGGCGAAAGCCUGAUGCAGCGACGCCGGGUGAGGGAUGACGGCCUUCGGGUUGUAAACCUCUUUCAGCAGGGAAGAAGCGAAAGUGACGGUACCUGCAGAAGAAGCGCCGGCUAACUACGUG
Molecule: ribosomal RNA, 467 nt
Filed under: uncultured bacterium
Lineage: Bacteria
Description: partial 16S ribosomal RNA
Rfam family: Bacterial small subunit ribosomal RNA
Source: RNAcentral